GACGAACCGUACGAACGUUAUUCGGAAUUACUGGGCUUAAAGGGUGCGUAGGCGGCGCAGUAAGUUGGGUGUGAAAUCCCUCGGCUUAACCGAGGAAUUGCGCCCAAAACUACUGUGCUCGAGGGAGAUAGAGGUGAGCGGAACUUAGGGUGGAGCGGUGAAAUGCGUAGAUAUCGGAAGGAACGCCGGUGGCGAAAGCGGCGGGCUGGACCUCUUCUGACGCUGAGGCGCGAAAGCCAGGGGAGCAAACGGG
Molecule: ribosomal RNA, 253 nt
Filed under: uncultured bacterium
Lineage: Bacteria
Description: partial 16S ribosomal RNA
Rfam family: Bacterial small subunit ribosomal RNA
Source: RNAcentral